This is a long non-coding RNA of Pelodiscus sinensis (Chinese soft-shelled turtle), 2020 nucleotides long. RefSeq lists it as uncharacterized. NCBI's taxonomy places the organism in Eukaryota, Metazoa, Chordata, Testudines, Trionychidae. The record is from RefSeq and is a predicted model, not a curated record.
AAAGCGAAUCCAUGAAAUUUUGAAUUCUCUGAAUAAGUGUGGGAAAGAAGUUGGAAGACAGCCUCAAAAACCAGGCAUAAGCAGUCUGUUCAGAAAAGGAUUUCAGUGUGAAGGGAUGCAGUGCAAGCACACUGAACCAAAAAGGAUGGGCUAAGGCUUUCAAAUAUGCCUCUCGGUUCCCCAUUUUAGCUAUCUUAAAGGGGCUUAGUUUUUCAGAGAUUAGGUGUCUUUAAGAUUUGAACCAAGAUGUGGGUCUCUCGGCGUCCAAAGCUGCUGAUGUGUUGAGUGCCUUCCACUUGCAGUGAAGACAAAUGAGGAUGCCCAGUGGUACCUGAGGAUAUAAUCUGGAGACAAUGGGAUUUGGUUGCAUAGAUAACACAGAACUGAGUGGCCCAGUUUUCCUCCAAACCUUUAUUACCUGUGAUGACCUACAGAAAAAAAGAGAAUGGAACCAGGGAGCUAAGAAUCAAGCUAAGUACUCAAAAUUGGCUGUUGGGGAGGGGGGAGAAUCUCUUCAUUUGUAAAUUGGUUCUCAUUUGUUGUGGAAAUUAUUGAGAGAUAAUAAUCGUGAAAUGCCUUGCCACAUUUUUACAGUCACUCUUCAGAGCGGAACUGCCUUCUGGGAAAGGAGCUUUUCUAAGGGGCUCUCGCAGCUUUCCAAUUGGCAGCAUCCCUAAAUUUCCCAGCAGUUAGUAGACAGUUAAAUAAAAAAGCAAAAGAGAAGCCACAAAUACUUCCCACUUCCCCACCCCCAUCGCUGUUUGUGAAAGAUGAGUGCUGGCAAGCGCAGUUGCAUGUCAGCAUUUUAACACAUUGCUUGUCACUAAUGCAGCUACUCAUCCGUGGAAUGGAUAUAUUCAGUGUAAAUAAUGAGUUUAAAAUGUGGUGCUACUGCUGAGUUUAUUAUUGUAAAUUUAAUACAAUUGUAGCACAACUGCAAAAAUGUAUGUAUGCUUGGGCCUCAUUCUGUGAGAUGCUGAAUGCCCUGCAAUUCUAGGAAAAUCAAUCAGAUUUGAGAGACUCAGCAUUCUGUAUUUCAGGGCUCUUGGUUUCCCUGCAUAUUCUGUGUCUGAAUAUCAUUAACACUUCUUGACCCAGAAGUUAUAGGCCAAAUUUCAGGCCCUACUGCAAAUCAAGGGGAAAAUUACCUCUGCAAUGACAAAUGAUAUGACAUUCAAUGCCGAAUAGGCUAGGAAAAAUUCACAUCCAACCAUUCAGACAAUCAGAAUAUUCCCUUAUAACUUGCACAGUAGCAAAACCUAUAGCUAAGAUUUGUAGCUCAAAUUUCAUUGUUGCUUCCUGUUUUAUUAUGUUAAUUACCUUUUUUAAAAUUCCCCAUUGGGGUUGAAACUUCCCAUGCUUGUAGCAUUUUACUGCCAGACAGGCUGGUGUCAGGAUGAACCUGUAGGACAGGAGUGGGGAACCUCAGUCCCUCGGCUUGACUGGAUCCAGCCUCUGAGGCUCAGAGCCCCCCAGCAUUGCUAGCCCAUGCUGGCACUCCAGCCCCCCUGAUCCUCCACUGCAGGGCUAUAGCACAGAAAAUCCACUAGGCUGGGCCCCCUUAUGCUCUGGCGUGGGAGGGGAAUGUGGGAAAUUUAUCCUUCUCAGCCAGGGGCCAUGUCAGUGAGGAUUUGGGUUUUUUGGGGGGAGGGGUUGUUGGUUUUUUUUGCUUCUCACUUCUGUGUAGCCUCUGACUAAUUUUUCUGUGAGUCAGUGGCCCCCAACCCAAAAUAGGUUCCCCACCCGUGCCUUAAAAACUAUAGACAGAAUAUGGUGACUAAUUUUUCUGCGGCUCUCCAUACUUACAGCCUGUGAAUGCCCUGUCCUGGGCUUCUGUUUCGGUCCCCAGCAGGCAGUGUGUCAUGGGAAACCAAAGAUGCCUUCUAGAGUUUACAGGAAGUAUGGAUCUUUACCCUUCCUACAGCACUUAUGCUUAAGCAGAAAGCUUAUUCUCAGCCCAAAGGAAUCAUAGAAUCAUAGGGCUGGAAGAGACCUCAGGAGGCCAGCCCCCUGCCCAAAG